GCCGGGGUGGCGGAAUGGCAGACGCGACAGACUUAAAAUCUUUUAUCCGCAAGGGUGUGAGGGUUCGACUCCCUCCCCCGGCACCA
This 86-nucleotide transfer RNA is filed under the name bacterium. Its description in RNAcentral is "tRNA-Leu". It matches the Rfam family "tRNA". From Rfam's summary of the family: Transfer RNA (tRNA) molecules are approximately 80 nucleotides in length. The record is from RNAcentral.